GCCAGUGCAGAGGAUGACAGCUCAUUGCUGCUAUCAUUUACCCUUCUGGCUGAAGUGGGAAAUACUUACAGUGAACAUAAGAAUCUACAGAUGUUCAUCGUUGUGAUGACUUAACAUCUGAUGACCUGUGUGCAACCCUUCAACCCUGUAAAAGUGAUCUUCAGAAGAACAAAAGCUAUCCUCCUUUUACUCACCCUGCUGCUGCAAGAGGGAUUUCAGAGGUACUACCACCAUGCAGAUGUUUUGGAGAAGCUGUGUUCUUGCUGAGGACACCCCAUAGCUACAAUUACAGAAACAUAACUUCAGACAGCACUCUAGCAAGAAAUGCG
Molecule: long non-coding RNA, 329 nt
Organism: Cygnus atratus (black swan)
Lineage: Eukaryota; Metazoa; Chordata; Aves; Anseriformes; Anatidae
Exons: 3
Source: RefSeq, a predicted model, not a curated record